CUGUUGACGUCGCUGUCGGCCGGCGCCGUGUCGCUGCACGCCAACGGAGGCCUGGCGCUGCCGCAGGACCUCUGUCCGCAGCACGUGGGCGCCCUGUUCGGCCUCAUGAACACCGGUGGAGCCCUGGCAGGCUUUCUCUCCAACCUGGCGGCCGGCUACCUGCUGGAGCUGCACGGCGACUUCGAGGCGGUGUUCCACAUGGUGGGCGGCCUGGCACUGGCCGGGGCUCUGGUGUUCGCCGUCUUCGGCUCGGCCGAGCGGCUCAAGCUCUGAUCAGUCUGCAGCCGUGAUCAGUCUGCAGCCGUGAUCAGUCUGCUGCCGUGAUCAGUCUGCAGCCGUGAUCAGUUUGCAGCCGUGGCCAGUCUGCAGCCGUGAUCAGUCUGCAGCCGUGAUCAGCUUGCAGCCGUGGCCAGUCUGCAGCCGUGAUCAGUCUGCAGCCGUGAUCAGUUUGCAGCCGUGGCCAGUCUGCAGCCGUGGUCAGUCCGCAGCCGUGAUCAGUCUGCAGGUGUGAUCAGUCUACAGCUGUGCUCAGUCUGCAGACGCGGCACUCCACCAGCGAUCCCCUCCCGUCGUGCACCGCUGUCAUUCCCCGCGUGGUCUCACGCUGCCGCGAUCCCGGCGGACGGGGCAUAUGACCACCUCAAAGCCUCGCGCGCGGGUUCCAAUGUAGGCUCCUUGCCGUGGAGAGUUUUCCGUCCGACAGAAGUGCUUCUGAGACGUGCCUCAGUGGUCUAUAUCUAGCUAUUGUUACACAACGGGUGUGUUCGACCUGGGCGGUUAUGUGCGUGGGUGUGGUAGGGGUGGGACGCUCUGUGGUGAUGUGGGUGGCAUGGGUUUGGGACGUUCUGUGAUGCUGUGAGUGGCAUGGGUUUGGGACGUUCUGUGAUGAUGUGAGUGGCAUGGGUUUGGGACGUUCUGUGAUGCUGUGAGUGGCAUGGGUUUGGGACGUUCUGUGAUGCUGUGAGUGACAUGGGCUUGGGACGUUUCACGAUGUGCGAGAUUCGUGUUCAGAGCGCGUGAUUUCACAGUCUUGUUUCGAGCGUGACGCAUUGGGAUGUGACGCUUGCGACGAUGACUGCGGCUUUGGCCGGGUUCCCCCGGGGACCAGGACCGGGAGUUCUGCCGAGGACCAGGAGUCGCGCCCGAAGCUCUCCGCGGACCGCUGUCUCCUGGGCUCCGCGGGUCUCCGAUCACCGUUGCUGACGUCACGGACACCAGCUGGCGCCAAGCCGUGUCAUCCUGAAAUGUUCUAGUCAGCCCCCGGGUCAGACUGCGCACAGGCCAUUGGCCGCAAGGCGCCGCGCUCGGCUGUGUCAGUGGUGGUGGAACCGUCGCGUUCAAGACGCGCCCAUAGAUGUGAACAGUGUGUGUCUUGCCGCAAUUGUGCGACGCUUCGGGUGCUUUUUCUAUUGGAACGAACAAGGUUAGGGUAGAAUACAAGCAUCUUAUUGUGUCGAUG
Pollicipes pollicipes is the source of this 1459-nucleotide long non-coding RNA. RefSeq lists it as uncharacterized. The record is from RefSeq and is a predicted model, not a curated record. Lineage: Eukaryota; Metazoa; Arthropoda; Thecostraca; Pollicipedomorpha; Pollicipedidae. The transcript has 2 exons.